Molecule: ribosomal RNA, 253 nt
Filed under: uncultured bacterium
Lineage: Bacteria
Description: partial 16S ribosomal RNA
Rfam family: Bacterial small subunit ribosomal RNA
Source: RNAcentral
UACAGAGGUCUCAAGCGUUGUUCGGAUUCAUUGGGCGUAAAGCGCUCGUAGGCGGUCUGUGGCGUCCGCUGUGAAAACUCGGGGCUUAACCCCGAGCCUGCAGUGGAUACGGGCAGACUAGAGGUAGGUAGGGGAGAAUGGAAUUCCCGGUGUAGCGGUGAAAUGCGCAGAUAUCGGGAGGAACACCGGUGGCGAAGGCGGUUCUCUGGGCCUUACCUGACGCUGAGGAGCGAAAGCGUGGGGAGCGAACAGG